UCCAGAGAUGGAAUCGUGCCUUCGGGAACUCUAACACAGGUGCUGCAUGGCUGUCGUCANCUCGUGUCGUGAGAUGUUGGGUUAAGUCCCGCAACGAGCGCAACCCUUAUCUUUAGUUGCUACCAUUUAGUUGAGAACUCUAAAGAGACUGCCGGUGAUAAACCGGAGGAAGGUGGGGACGACGUCAAGUCAUCAUGGCCCUUAUGGGAUGGGCUACACACGUGCUACAAUGGGGGGUACAAAGAGCAGCCAACUGGCAACAGUGCGCGAAUCUCAAAAAACCUCUCGUAGUCCGGAUCGGAGUCUGCAACUCGACUCCGUGAAGUCGGAAUCGCUAGUAAUCGCGGAUCAGAAUGCCGCGGUGAAUACGUUCCCGGGCCUUGUACACACCGCCCGUCACACCAUGGGAGUGGAUUGCAAAAGAAGUAGGUAGCCUAACCUUCGGGAGGGCGCUUACCACUUUGUGGUUCAUGACUGGGGUGAAGUCGUAACAAGGUAGCCG
This 502-nucleotide ribosomal RNA is filed under the name uncultured bacterium. Its description in RNAcentral is "bacterial SSU rRNA". It matches the Rfam family "Bacterial small subunit ribosomal RNA", at positions 999 to 1502 of the family's 1533-position model. The record is from RNAcentral.